This 934-nucleotide ribosomal RNA is filed under the name uncultured bacterium. Its description in RNAcentral is "bacterial SSU rRNA". It matches the Rfam family "Bacterial small subunit ribosomal RNA", at positions 51 to 976 of the family's 1533-position model. The record is from RNAcentral.
ACACAUGCAAGUCGAGGGGCAGCAUGGACUCAGCUUUGCUGGGUUUGAUGGCGACCGGCGCACGGGUGAGUAACGCGUAUCCAACCUGCCCUUUACUCCGGGAUAGUCUCCUGAAAGGGAGUUUAAUACCGGAUGUGUUUGUCUUUCCGCAUGGGAGCGACAAAUAAAGAUUAAUUGGUAAAGGAUGGGGAUGCGUCCCAUUAGCUUGUUGGCGGGGUAACGGCCCACCAAGGCAACGAUGGGUAGGGGUUCUGAGAGGAAGGUCCCCCACAUUGGAACUGAGACACGGUCCAAACUCCUACGGGAGGCAGCAGUGAGGAAUAUUGGUCAAUGGGCGUAAGCCUGAACCAGCCAAGUAGCGUGAAGGACGACGGCCCUACGGGUUGUAAACUUCUUUUAUAAGGGAAUAAAGUUCGCCACGUGUGGUGUUUUGUAUGUACCUUAUGAAUAAGCAUCGGCUAAUUCCGUGCCAGCAGCCGCGGUAAUACGGAAGAUGCGAGCGUUAUCCGGAUUUAUUGGGUUUAAAGGGAGCGUAGGCGGGCUUUUAAGUCAGCGGUCAAAUGUCACGGCUCAACCGUGGCCAGCCGUUGAAACUGUAAGCCUUGAGUCUGCACAGGGCACAUGGAAUUCGUGGUGUAGCGGUGAAAUGCUUAGAUAUCACGAAGAACUCCGAUCGCGAAGGCAUUGUGCCGGGGCAGCACUGACGCUGAGGCUCGAAAGUGCGGGUAUCAAACAGGAUUAGAUACCCUGGUAGUCCGCACGGUAAACGAUGAAUGCUCGCUAUGGGCGAUAUAUUGUCCGUGGCCAAGCGAAAGCGUUAAGCAUUCCACCUGGGGAGUACGCCGGCAACGGUGAAACUCAAAGGAAUUGACGGGGGCCCGCACAAGCGGAGGAACAUGUGGUUUAAUUCGAUGAUACGCGAGGAACCUUACCC